GGCUGCCCACCUUUGCAAAGGCCAUGCGUCACUCCAAAUAAGGGUGGGGUCCACCCUAAAAUAAAAGGGAACCCUAGGUCUAGUGUCCUAUAAUAUUGGGCCCAACAACAUUUUCCAAAAAUUGGCCCACAAUGUAAAAGUUUGUCCAUAAAGUUUAAGCAAUUAAAAUUACAAUACAACUAAAAUUUAAAAUGUCUAAAUUUGAGAGUCUUGAAUUUAUUUGGUGUCCUCCAAAUGUCCCA
This 242-nucleotide long non-coding RNA is filed under the name Vigna radiata. RNAcentral's name for it is "long non-coding RNA (VRAD_LNC004901)". Lineage: Eukaryota; Viridiplantae; Streptophyta; Magnoliopsida; Fabales; Fabaceae. The record is from RNAcentral.